GACGUAGGGGGGCCAGCGUUGCUCGGAAUUACUGGGUGUAAAGGGUUCGUAGGCGGUGUGGCAAGUCGGGAGUGAAAUCUCUGGGCUCAACCCAGAGUCUGCUUCCGAAACUGCUGUGCUUGAGUGUGGGAGAGGCGCGUGGAAUUGCAGGUGUAGCGGUGAAAUGCGUAGAUAUCUGCAGGAACACCCGUGGCGAAAGCGGCGCGCUGGACCACUACUGACGUGAGGAACGAAAGCUAGGGGGAGCAAACAGG
Molecule: ribosomal RNA, 254 nt
Filed under: uncultured bacterium
Lineage: Bacteria
Description: partial 16S ribosomal RNA
Rfam family: Bacterial small subunit ribosomal RNA
Source: RNAcentral